GUGGGGAAUAUUGGACAAUGGGCGCAAGCCUGAUCCAGCCAUGCCGCGUGAGUGAUGAAGGCCCUAGGGUUGUAAAGCUCUUUCAGUGGGGACGAUAAUGACGGUACCCACAGAAGAAGCCCCGGCUAACUUCGUGCCAGCAGCCGCGGUAAUACGAAGGGGGCUAGCGUUGUUCGGAUUUACUGGGCGUAAAGCGCACGUAGGCGGAUCGUUAAGUCGAGGGUGAAAUCCUGGGGCUCAACUCCAGAACUGCCUUCGAUACUGGCGAUCUUGAGUCCGGAAGAGGUGAGUGGAACUCCUAGUGUAGAGGUGGAAUUCGUAGAUAUUAGGAAGAACACCAGUGGCGAAGGCGGCUCACUGGUCCGGUACUGACGCUGAGGUGCGAAAGCGUGGGGAGCAAACAGGAUUAGAUACCCCAGUAGUCC
Molecule: ribosomal RNA, 425 nt
Filed under: uncultured bacterium
Lineage: Bacteria
Description: partial 16S ribosomal RNA
Rfam family: Bacterial small subunit ribosomal RNA
Source: RNAcentral